GUUUAUUAACUCUAGCCAAAAAUACCUGGUUAACCAAAUAAAGAGGUGAUGUGACAGAUAAGAUACCUCCUAAUAGAGGCGUGGUUAUGGGUGUAGAAAUUCAACACUUUACAAACUGCUCAGCGGCUGCGACAAACUUUUCUGACGAUGGGGAAAAAAUGUAACUAAAUGGCAUCCAGCUCCUUAAGUGUAGAUACUGACAAGCAGCCCUAAUAACAAUAACAAAACAAAAUGAUAAAGAAGCUCUAUGUCAGUUACUUAAAAUUGAAAUAAAGUUAUGUCCUGCUUUUGUCUGCAGAUAAAUACGGAAUAAGGAAGAUGGUGCUCCUGCCUUUCAUCAUCAUCAUUAUCUUACUGACUGCCAUCCUCUGUAUUGUUGGGGCACACUACCACCACUUCAGACAAACCAGAGUGGAGUUGGGGAGUGACCAGAACACAAACAGAGAAGCAUGGUUUCUCAAUGGAAAUUCAUUUUAUUUGUUUUGGACUCGCCACGGUGACUGCGACACUGCUGUGCAAUUCUGCGAAAAAAGAGGUGCCACUCUUGCGGUGGUAGAGGAAAAUAACAUGGUAAAAACACACACAUACACACACACACACACACAGACACAUAUUCUUAUUCUAUGAAACCCCCAACCUUCAAGCUGCCAGGAAGUAUAGUCUUUAUCUCU
Molecule: long non-coding RNA, 671 nt
Filed under: Astyanax mexicanus (Mexican tetra)
Lineage: Eukaryota; Metazoa; Chordata; Actinopteri; Characiformes; Acestrorhamphidae
Description: lncRNA (ENSAMXG00005015156.1)
Source: RNAcentral